AUUGAACGCUGGCGGCAUGCCUUACACAUGCAAGUCGAACGGUAACGGGCCUUCGGGUGCCGACGAGUGGCGAACGGGUGAGUAAUGUAUCGGAACGUACCUUUCAGUGGGGGAUAACGUAGCGAAAGUUACGCUAAUACCGCAUAUUCUGUGCGCAGGAAAGCAGGGGAUCGCAAGACCUUGCGCUGAUUGAGCGGCCGAUAUCAGAUUAGCUAGUUGGUGAGGUAAAGGCUCACCAAGGCGACGAUCUGUAGCGGGUCUGAGAGGAUGAUCCGCCACACUGGAACUGAGACACGGUCCAGACUCCUACGGGAGGCAGCAGUGGGGAAUUUUGGACAAUGGGGGCAACCCUGAUCCAGCCCAUGCCGCGUGAGUGAAGAAGGCCUUCGGGUUGUAAAGCUCUUUCGGCCGGGAAGAAAUCGUAUGGGCUAAGUACCCUGUGCGGAUGACGUACGGCCGAUAAGAAGACACCGGCUAACUAACGUCGCCACGCAGCCGGCGGUAAA
This 506-nucleotide ribosomal RNA is filed under the name uncultured bacterium. RNAcentral describes it as "bacterial SSU rRNA". It matches the Rfam family "Bacterial small subunit ribosomal RNA", at positions 30 to 524 of the family's 1533-position model. The record is from RNAcentral.